UCUACUGGAUCAGAUUCUCUUCAGUAUAUUUCUCCACAAGGUUUCAUACAAUGCAAUCAAAUCACCUUUCAGUCUUCUUUUUGAUAAAACAAAUGGAUGGACUUGUUACAGUCUUCACAGUGAGAAGAAUGUUAUACAAACCACUGAGAAUGCAUGUCAAAUUGCUCAUCCAUCAUUACUCAGCUGAAUAUCAGCUUUCCAGGAUGUAGUUCUUCACUCUAUUAUUACCAAAUAUUUUCUGUGGGCAGUGUAAAUCCAAUUCCCAUUGACCACAAUGACCAAAAAUGUAGUAUUGUUGGAGAUACAAAAUUGUUAAUGUAGUGAUAUAUUGGUUUCAUAUGGGAAAAUACCAUGUGCUCCCCUCCUCAAGCUGUAGCUUCACAGUAUGUCAGCUUCAGUGACAAUAACAGUUUAAAGCAUUCCCAACCCCUUCAUCCCUUCAGAUGUGCAAUUGCAAGUGUUCAUGAGGCUCUCA
Long non-coding RNA from Cygnus olor (mute swan), 475 nucleotides. RefSeq lists it as uncharacterized. NCBI's taxonomy places the organism in Eukaryota, Metazoa, Chordata, Aves, Anseriformes, Anatidae. The record is from RefSeq and is a predicted model, not a curated record. The transcript is spliced from 3 exons.